CCUACGGGAGGCAGCAGUGAGGAAUAUUGGUCAAUGGCCGGAAGGCUGAACCAGCCAAGCCGCGUGAAGGACGACGGUGCCAAGCAUUGUAAACUUCUUUUGUCAAGGGACAAACUCAGGCUCGAGAGCCUGACCGAGGGUACUUGACGAAUAAGCAUCGGCUAACUCCGUGCCAGCAGCCGCGGUAAUACGGAGGAUGCGAGCGUUAUCCGGAUUUAUUGGGUUUAAAGGGUGCGUAGGCGGACGGUUAAGUCAGCGGUAAAAGGUCGGGGCUCAACCCCGGCGAGCCGUUGAAACUGGUGGACUAGAGAUGUGGAGAGGUAGGCGGAAGG
RNAcentral lists this ribosomal RNA (332 nucleotides) under uncultured bacterium. RNAcentral's name for it is "partial 16S ribosomal RNA". It matches the Rfam family "Bacterial small subunit ribosomal RNA", at positions 338 to 668 of the family's 1533-position model. The record is from RNAcentral.